UACGGAGGGGGGCUAGCGUUGUUCGGAAAUUACUGGGCGUAAAGCGCACGUAGGCGGCUUUGUAAAGUUAGAGGUGAAAGCCCGGGGCUUCAACUCCGGAAUUGCCUUUAAGACUGCAUCGCUAGAAUUGUGGAGAGGUAAGUGGAAUUCCGAGUGUAGAGGUGAAAAUUCGUAGAUAUUCGCAAGAACACCAGUGGCGAAGGCGGCUCACUGGCCCGAUACUGACGCUGAGGUGCGAAAAGCGUGGGGGAGCAAACAGG
This 260-nucleotide ribosomal RNA is filed under the name uncultured bacterium. Its description in RNAcentral is "partial 16S ribosomal RNA". It matches the Rfam family "Bacterial small subunit ribosomal RNA", at positions 524 to 776 of the family's 1533-position model. The record is from RNAcentral.